This is a long non-coding RNA of Zea mays, 9938 nucleotides long. RefSeq lists it as uncharacterized. The transcript has 2 exons. The record is from RefSeq and is a predicted model, not a curated record. Lineage: Eukaryota; Viridiplantae; Streptophyta; Magnoliopsida; Poales; Poaceae.
AGUGCUCCAGCCUCCUUGCGGAGCAGCUCACCCAACAGCCGAGACAGCCACAAGGCUUGAGUGGGGGCAGCGACAUACUCUGCUUCACAGCUGGACACUAAAAAACUCGGCCGGGGAGGGAAAGAUCGCCCUCCCGGUAUUAUAUUAAGAAGAGACCGAAACAAUGGUCCCGGCCGAGAAAAUCCCCGAACCCUGGCCCCCCAUCACUAACGGACACCACCACCACAUGUUGCUUGACCAAUUGCCAACUAAUCAAGCAAUUUCUGAGCAAGACCAACAUGCCACUAGUGUUGUUGCUCGUUUCGAUGUUGCUAGCAAGAUCGCUACCGUUGUAGCCAACAAAGUGCGUUGGACCAAGACAAUGAGCGUAAGUGCAGGCCGUAGCUAAGAAGCCAUGUUCCCAAAAUGAUGGGAUCGAGGAACGGGAACACGGAAUGAGGAACGUUAUUUUUAGAACCAUGGUAUGAAAGGGGUACAUCUCGUCCUACUGUUUUUUUACCAGUGGAAUUUGAACGAUGCCAUUUUAGAACGAUAAUGCGAAACAAUAAUACCGGAACAAUUUUUUCAGUUAAAAUGAGUUUGACUUUGAAAAACAAAAAAGAUAAGUGGUGCUAAAAGUGGUCCAAAAUGUUAAAAUACUUCAAACCCAACUUAAUUCUGCAUAUUAAUAAACCUAUAUAGAAUAGCAAACUGUUUUAAGUUAGUCAUGUUUAUUUGCUUUAGUUGUGUUGGCAUCAAUCAUCAAAAAGGGGGAGAUUGAAAGGAAAAUGUGUCUUGUGUCAUUUCUAUAAAUGUUUUGGUGGUUAAUGUCCAACACAACAAAUGUGGACUAACAUGUUUGCUAAAUGUGCAUAUGCAGGAAUUUAACUCAGGUAAACAGAAGUUAAGUUGGAGAAUCAAAAUAAAUUAAGUUUCAUGACAUAGACAUGGUUGGAUUGUCACUACGAAUAUUUGUCUUAAGUCAUGGGAGCAAAUUUGGAAAAGAACAAAUUGAUUUGGAGAAGAAAAUCUGAAAAAAGAACAAGGUGCAACUGUUUGGGGUGCACCAAACCACAUUACUAGAGGCGCCAGAAAGAACUAUGUGGCCUGGUGCACCGGACCACUUUACCAGAGAGGGAUGAAGAAGACGCCAGAGGACUCCGGCACACCGGCCCAGUCCGAUGUGCACCAGAUCACUAGGGUCCAACGGUUAUCUCAGGCUCCAACGAGUGUCGCAACGGCUCGCAACGGCUAGCUGACGUGGCACGAGGUCCGAUGGUGCGCCGGAUCAAUCUGGUGCCAGCGUCCAAAGGAAGGCGCUAGUUAGGAUCCCAGGAUUGGGCUACAGGACUCGGUCCAGUGAUGCACCGGACCGGUCGGUUGUGCCCUAUGGAUGUUUUUUCCAAUGACCCCUCAAAGCACCAAUUCACUCAAGAGCACAUGCUUUCAUUCCAAGCAUUAGAGAAGCACACCAAAGUGAUCCAAGCGCUCGGACUUGAGAGAGAGAGAGAGAGCUCUGCUUCAGUUUUGCGCUUGUAUUCUUCGAUCUUUUGGUGUUGUGAUUGUGCUCUUGUGUGUGUUUCUUCCUCCUUUUUGCUUCUAUUUGAGUUGUUGCUCUCAUUCAUUGUGUACGGAUAGCAAGAGACUCUGAUCUGUGGAGAUCCUUGUGAUGAGAAAAGUAUAAGAGAAAUUUGUGGCCUCAAGUUUGAUCUUUGAAUCACUUGAGAAAGGUUAAGUGCAACCCUUGUCCUUUGGGACACCAUAACGGGGACGUAAGCUCUUCAGAGUUGAACCUCGGUUAAACAAAUCGUCAUGUCUUGUGUGAUUUACCUUUCUGCAAUUUGUUCUUCAUUUUCACUUGCUCUAAGUUCUUGAUCCUCACUUGUGAUAUUGCCCUUGAAUUAAUUCUGCAAUCAAGUUGGGCAUCAAGUGCAAGAACUUCUCUCUUUUCUAACUUUCUUGGAUCUAGAUUUUGAGCUAAUCACUAAUUUUGGAUCAAAGUUUGUUUUGAGUUGUGAAAUUUUAGGAGCUGCCUAUCCGGCUAUCCCCCCUCUAGGCAACUAUCACCAUCCAUCUCCGUAAUUUGACAGCCGCCACCCACCAAGCGCCCAAGUCACGACAGUUAUGGGCUGCCAUUCGCACCGAGCCACCAAAUGACCAUCUCCCUAGUCCCCACUCCCCAGCCACGAUAGCUACUUCAUAUCGCCCCAUCCUUCACUGUUGUGUGCCACCAGCGACACGAAUUUGGUGGCGACACGCGACGAUGUCAACCCCCGAUUGAGGAUACGCGACGACACCAACAUCAGUGGCUCUGCGUCCGCUGUCCGCAUUGUCACCGACGUCUAGUCGUGCCACCGUGGACACAUCUAUUGGCAUGUCUGGUUCAUCUUUUUCCGACGAGCUUUUCUGAAAAUCUGGUUAUGGGAGGAAUCUAAGUAUCGUGAGGAUUACAUAUAGAGGAAGAUGAAGGGGUCCAUAGGGUUUAGGAUCUAGAAAGUGACAGAUUUCUACUAUCGCGACGACUCGGACGAUUGUGUUCACAUUGAUUUUGGACGAUUUUCACCAAAGUGGUUCUAACAAAAGCAGGUUGAAAAGUUGUGUUUGCCGGUCCGUGGCAGCUUCUAGUUGCUAGAAGCUAGAAAUAAGCUGAAACAAACACACACUAUGCUAGCCGGAGCGCUUAGCGUGCGACCGGUGCUAGGUGUCGUCCACGUCCCAAGAGCCAUAGGUGCAACGUCCCAAUCAGCGACCGACAGUGCGGCUGGACGACAUUCUUGUGGCUGCCAAGUCAAAAGAUCAAGUCGAUGUUUCACCAUUCGAUUGGUACGUCGUUCCAUCUUGUUCAUGUUCCUCUUUCAGAACAAGGAAUGAUGUUCCUAGUUUCUUAGGCAAGGACCAACAACGAAAGGAGAAAUUUUGAAUGUUCCCCCUCUUCUAUUUUUGGUCGCAGCUCCAAGCUUCCAUGGGCUAGGAACAAGGUAGGCUCCUCUUCCUCGUCCUAGUCCAUGUGGAUCGCACCACUUGAAAGUGCAUCUAUUCGUUUAGUGUGUUUUGGUGAAUUAAAUGACAACACAAUUAAAUGUUUAAUAAGUUUUCUAAGUGCUAAAUAAGAAGUUGAGUAGAUUUUAUACACUUAAAGAGAAGUGUAUCAAAGGUUCAACAAGAAAGCAAACUUGAUGGUAUUCCACAUUAUGUUCAUGUGAAGGCCAAAGUUGUAUAUUAUUACGCUAAAAGAUUAUAGAAACAAUCUAGUUGAAGCAAAAGACAACAAUGCAAAUGGAGUUUAUGAAUGACUUCUAUGUUGUGGGAUAUCAUAGCAUCAUAUGAAAGCAAGUAUGUUUGGCAAAUGGCAAAUGAGCCAUGAGUUGAUGCUUUAGGAUUGGUCUCAAUAAUGGCUUGCUUUGCAUGGAUAAGAAGAAAUUGUUAGUUGUCUUGUAUUAAUCAUGUUGGAAGCACGAACAUGAAAUCUAUCAAGAGUAACGGUAGUAUGAAAUAAUAGCAAUCCAAGACACGAAAGUAUAAAGAGACAGUCUUAUGCAUAUCUAGUCUCAUGUUUGGAAUUGAGCUUACAUCAUGAAGAUGGACAUUGAGAUGAAUACUAAAAGCGUCAAAGCCAAAACGAAGAGGAUAUAAGGAAUCGUGAAUUAGCUUGACCAUAUUGAUGUUGAUUCAUAUAUGUCAAUCUAUGUGAAUCAAAUUAAAGCUUGAUUUAUCUCAACACUCCUCUCAAGAAGAUAUUCAAGGAUCAUAGUAUUUUUUCUUGAAUACACAGGAGAGCUGCGUAUCUUUGUAUUAAUAGGAGAAGAAAAAAAGGCACAUGGCCAGAACUGUACAAAAGAAAGACCAACACACACCACCGCAAACACACACACACACACCAAGGAUACUAGGCCUGCACACACUCCAGGCCACCAGCACACCGCACAUGCACACAAGCGGUGCAGAAGAAGAGAGGUCCUCAAAUCUAACCAAGAUCAAACAUGGCUCUUAAGUUUUUAGCACCUGCCAAGCGCCAUAGAUGCAACUCAUCCCUAAAUCCCUCUUCCAGAGAAGAAAGGCUAGGAUGCUUCCCCGCAAAAACACACUUGUUUCUAUGCUUCAAAAUGUUCCAGGCUCCAAGAAUGAUAAUAUUAUUGAACCCCUUUCUCUUGCUUUUAGGGACCCUGUGAGAAGCUUUCCUCCACCAGUCCAUCAAACAAGUAUCCCUUCUCUUAGGACUGAUAUUAUUAAGACAAAAAGAGGAUAAUAUAUCUUGCCGGAACUGCCUUGCAAACACACAAUUGGUCAAAUAUGCUGGACAGUUUCUUCCUCUUGAUCACAUAAGGCACAACUCUGAGGAUGAUCCAACCCCCUUUUCUUCAGCCUGUCUGCGGUCCAACAUUUAUUUUUAACAGCUAGCCAUACAGAGAUUUUGCAUUUGGGGGCUUACCUGGUUUCCAAAUUCUUUUCCAUGGUUCAAAAACAAUAGCAACUCUAAAGAAAGCUCUGUAGGCCGACUUGGAACUGAAGGUUCCAUUGCUAGAGAAUCUCCAAACAUGUUUAUCAUUGGUAUUCUCUAGAUGGAAAUUUUCAAUGACAUCCCACAACUGAAGGUAUUGUUCAAUACCAGCCAGGGAAAGAUUUGCCUCAAUGUCUUGGACCCAUGAAAAGGAAGGAAGAACUUGUUGAACAGUCCUUGUUUUUUUUUGGGGACAGCAGCCACAAUACUUGGAGCUAUGUCCACAAUAGAAGUCCCAUGAAUCCAUUUAUCUGACCAAAAAUAAAUUGUGGCUCCAUUACCAAUAUAGGUAAUAAGAGCAAUCUGAAAUAAGGCUCUAGCUUGGGAGGAGAUAUUAAGGUUAAGACCAUUACAAGGCUUAUCAGGAUUUAUUUUCUGAAGCCAUAACCAUCUCAUUUGAAGGGCCCAGCUCAUAAUGCGGAGGUUUGGGAUUCCAAGGCCUCCCAACUCAAUAGGUCUAGUUACCUUCUCCUAGGCUAUAAGGCAGUUACCUCCUCAAGGCUCUUUUCUCCGAUUCCAUAGAAAGUUUCUCCUGAUUUUAUCAAUUGCCGUAAUAACCCACUUUGGGACAUCGAGAGUGAUAAGCAGGUAGACUAGAAUCGCAGAUAGCACAGGUUUGAUUAAGGUUAUUCUCCCUGACAGAUUUAAUAGGUUAGCUUUCCAUCUUGGUCGCCUGUCUGCAAUCUUCUGUAUCCAAGGAAUAAGAUCACCAGAAAUAAGCCUUUUGUUACUCAAGGGGAGCCCAAGAUAAGUUGUAGGGAAACCUUUUGAGGCACCCCCUAAAGUCUGCACAGCCAACUCCUUCAUCUCCUCACCGAAUAGGGUAGAAGAAACUUUUUUCCAUAUUUGUUUGAAGACUAGAGAGAACUCCAAAACACCUCAGAAUUUGCUUGGCACUUUCCAUUUCCUCAAAAACCGGCUUGACAAAGAAAGCCACAUCAUCGGCAAAAAAAAUAGAUCCUUUGGUUAACAGAUCUACCCGCUAAAGAAUGCAACAGCCACACUGAUCAGCUUUAGAAAAGAGGCUAUUAAGGUGCCGUUUGGUUCAGCUUCUGGGCGGAUUCUGGCCGCCAGAAGCUGAAGCGGCUACCAAACGCGCAACUUCUCCUCCCGCUUAUCCGCGACGCGCUUCGAUGAGAAGCCACCCGCCUACGCGACGCCAGAAGCGGGUCUGAGGACGCUUCCGCGGAAAGCCACCCUCAUUUCGCUAGGGUUCGCAAGCGCGCCCGUCACGCGUCCCCGUCGCAACUCGCCGCCGCAGCUCUCCUCCCCAUCGCAUCUCCCGCAACCGCCCUCAUUCGCGACGCCCGCGGCGGCCGUCUCGUCCCCCAUCGCAUCUCCCGCCGCCGCGCUCGUCGUCUUCGCAGGUAAGCUUUCUUCCUCUCAUCCAUGGCGAACCUGACUUCUUGCUCCUCCGCCGUGUCGGUGAUUCGAUGCAUUCGUGACCCUUCCGUUCUCUAGGGGUGUGACCGCGGCUCCGCAACUCCUUCGACAAAUCCCACAGGCAUCUUCAAGCUGCGACUCGUCCCGCCAUCGCAUCUCCUCGUCUUCCCAGGUACCAUCUUCCUCUCCUCCAUCCCGCCCCUCUCUUCAAUCUCCUCCGCCGACGCCCUCGUUUGGAUAUCUCUCGUAUCUAGCUGUUACGUAUCCAAUCGUCCCCCAUGUACUGAUUAGGGUAUAGGUUGCAUCCACGUCCGUGGUUAAGAGUUUAUCCCCCCUGUAUUGACUCCUAGCAAGUGUGAUUUGCUGUAUGAAGAGAUGCUUCAACUUCAGUUUGUUCAUAGUUAAACUCCUAGCAGUUUAACGAUUUCUGGUCACCAUUUAGGACAAACCAUUGAAGUGUGUUUUGCACUGUUAUUUAUUUCUUUGUUACUUGAAACAUAGUUUUGUUUGUUAGCAGCCGAGGUAAUAAAUCGUUUCAAUUACUGGAUUUAAGUACAUUGUCCCCAUGUCCAGUUUAUUCACUACUUUUGUUUGGAGCGACGUACUAACGUUUUUGUUGUCUAAUGUACACUUCAGAAUUUCCCCACCAACUCGGGUUCUUCCUCUCCUGGUUCCAACAACCACUGCAGGCAAGGUAAUGUCAAUAUGUACUUGUUGGUUAAUUAACUGUGAUCAUAGAAGAGGUGUUACCAAAUUAAGUUCUCGGUGAACGGGAUACCAUUGAUCUGUUUAAGCCCUAUUAUUUGAAGAGGGUUUAUUUCAAAGUUUGUCUAUGUCAGUACCUCAAUGUUAGUUUCUUCAACUUCAGUUUGUUCAUGUUAGCACCCAUUUCAUGUCAAUACAUGGAAGUUAGUACAUUGUCCCCUUGUCUAGUACACUAACCACCUAAAUCCACAUCAGAUGGAUUCCGCAGACUCCAUAGCCGACAAGGCAAUCGGAAGGAUGCAAGAGAUUGCGGACAAGAUAUUUGUCGUAGCUCGGGAAACAAUCCGUCCAGGACGCGGGUUGACCUCAUUUGACGCUACCAAACUUCGUGUAGCAUUGGAGGACAUAGCUUGCAUGCUUGAGCAAGACUCUCUGGUGUUGCAAGAGAAUUUGGACAACGUUAACAACCCGAGUGACAGCAGCUACGGACCGUCAGCCUUGUCCUCACCACCCCCAGCUGACGACUACCUUAGUCCAGAUUGGGACUUUGCGGAGCACUUCGAACACUUCUGGGGUCUAGAAUAUGACUCAGACCAGAUGCCUUCGUUUAGUGACAAUGAGGUUUAAGUUAGACCAUGGUGAACCUUGGACUCAGGUGUUAGGGUAACAGGGAUAGAUCAGCCUUUUGCUUAAUGCGCAGGUCUAUAGUAAUCCCUGUGUUGUUCUGUCCACCAGGACUUUAAUUUGUUAAGUCUAUAUAUGUAAUUAUGACAAAACCCAAUGGCACUCCUUAUGGUACUACCUUAUGUUAUUAUGGUCCCUUACCAGUUCAUUGUGUUUUCUUAUUAAGUGCACUUCAAUACGUAUUUUCAAUCGUCUACACUUGUUUUACACUAGAUGGACAAGUCUGGCAAAGUGAUUGCAAAGUGGGAUAGCAGAGCCACAAAAAUUUAUACAGAAAUUUGUGUAGAAGAGGUCAAUGCACGGAACAGGCCACAACAAUUUCUAAAUGCCGAAGGGUAUGCUAACCUCAUAAGGAAGUUUAAGGAACGCACUGGUCGCACUUACACCAGGGAUCAAAUGAAGAAUAGGUGGGACUCCUUAAAGAGAAUGUUCACCCAGUGGAAAACUCUUAAUGAAAGGGCUACAGGACUUGGUCGCGACCCUCAUACUGGUUCAAUCAGUGCUCCAGAUGAGUGGUGGGCUAAGCAAAAUGAAGUAAGUAGACUUUUUUAAUUUUUUUAGAUUAACAAUAGUAAUGGCCAUCUCAAAGUAGGAAAUACCAUGUUGCUGCAGGCAAUGCCAGGGUGUAUUAUGUUCAAAACUGCCCCCCUAGAGAAUGAGGACGAGCUAAAGGUUAUGUUUGGACCCAUUGUCUGCGCAAAUCAAACAACCCUAGUUCCUGGCGUCGAGGAUGCAAAUUCAUCAUCUGAUGAUCAUGUCGAUGCCACUUUAGGUGGGGGUGAAAACAGCACACCUGACCCAUGCUCAAAUGCGACUGGGAAGCGUAAGGUGCGUCAUGAUUCUCCAAAACCAAAGAAGAAAAAAGAUACGAGGGAAGAGUACAUGAAACGCCUAGUCGAGGCUUUUGAGUCGCGUUCAAUGACCACUAACAAGUCCAUCACCUCUGCUGAGACCGACCCUGUCCGUGUUGAGGUUAAUGCGCAGUUGCAACAAGUGAUCGAUGAUGGUGCAGCUGAAGGCAGCGACCUACAUUUGUUUGCCACUCAUCUGUUGAUUGAGAAAAAGUUUAGAGAUGUAUUUGCAACACUGAAGACCAAAGAAGGAAGGAACGCUUGGCUGCGCAGUGCUUUCGAGAUACAUGUUAAAAAGUCGAUUUAGUGGUGGUCGUCCGACAACAGAGGGUCAUGUUCGCUAUUAUGUUGUUGUUCUUGUUAGUCGUCUCACUGUUAUCAGUCUUGUCGUGUUACAAAAUAAACAUGCCGUACGCAUAAUUUUCCCUUUUGAACAAUUUUGCAAUUAUUCGAGUUGAACAUGUAUUUGAAUAAUCAGAGUUGUAUGUUUCUGAACAAGUCAAUCUGUGAACUUUGUGUCACCUAUGGUACAUGAAUGUGUCUUAUAUACUGUGCCUAUACAUGAAUAUGUGCCUGCUGUUUGUGUGCAUGCAGAUGGGUGACCCUGCUGCACACACAUAUGAUCAUAACACGGACGACGGAGAUGCGGAAUUUCUUGUUGCCCUAUAUGCUGUAGACAUGUGGGGCAGGCCUUCCAGUGAGGUUUCUAGAAGAACAAUGGUUGAAACAGGUAUUCAAUGGGUUGAGCGAACUUUGGAGAAUAGUAACGAUUGCUUUGACAUGUUUCACAUGCGACGUACUGUUUUUAGACGAUUGCAUGAUACUUUGGUCGAAAGUUAUGGUCUUCUUCCAAGCCGUGGUGUCAGUACUAUGGAAGCUCUAGGUAUUUUCUUGUGGGCAUGUGGGGGUCCACAAUCAUUUAGGCAGAUAAGGAAUAAGUUUGGUCACUCAUUGGAAACUAUUAGUCGCAAGUAUAGUGAAGUACUUAAUGCACUACAUAAGAUGUGAGCUGACGUAAUCAAGCCCAAAGACUCAAAUUUCAUAGAGAUUCAUCCUCGUUUGCGAGAGGGGAGAUUUUGACCCCACUUCAAGGAUUGCAUAGGAGCAAUUGAUGGUACUCACUUUCCAGCGUCUGUACCGGCCUCGGAGCAACCCAAAUAUAUUGGUCGCCACGGUUAUGCAUCACAGAAUGUAAUGGCCGUUUGUGACUUCGAUAUGAGGUUCACAUUUGUUGUCACAGGUUGGCCAGGUUCAGUACAUGACACUAGAGUAUUACAAGAUACUUUGAUAACUUAUGCGGACAGGUUCCCCCAUCCACCUGAAGGUAAAUACUAUCUUGUGGAUUCAGGUUAUCCAAAUAGAAAGGGGUACCUUGCACCUUAUAAGGGUCAGAAGUAUCACAUUGCAGAAUGGCAAAAUGCGAGGCAACCUAUUGGGAGCAAAGAAGUAUUCAACUAUGCACACUCGUCGCUACGCAAUGUUAUAGAGCGAUCUUUUGGUGUGCUUAAAAUGAAGUGGAGAAUUCUGUUAAGUCUCCCUUCAUUUUCGCUUAAGAAACAAUCCAAGAUAAUUAUUGCAUGUAUGACAUUGCAUAACUUCAUUAGAGACAGUGCUCUACACGAUAGAGACUUUGAUGAACUAGGACCUAAUAGCCUUGGUCAUGAAGUAUCUGUAGGUGAGAGUAGUUCUAGCACAUCUGAUGAGUUAGACAUGAGUGCAUUUCGAGAUGCAAUUGCUAAUGCAUUAGUGUCGUAGUUAAAUAUGUAAAUUUAACGGUAGUUAUGUUGUAAUGAACUCCACUAAUUAUAUGUAAUGACCUUUUGUUGGUUCGGUGUUAA